UUCUUAUCAAGAGAGGUGGAGGGACAGGCCCUGUGAAACCCGGCAACCGAUACUCAAAAGGUAUACGGUGCCAAUUCCUUCAGUAGAGAUACUGGAAGAUGAGAA
This 105-nucleotide non-coding RNA is filed under the name Youngiibacter fragilis 232.1. Its description in RNAcentral is "Clostridium sp. 232.1 SAM riboswitch aptamer (S box leader)". It matches the Rfam family "SAM riboswitch aptamer (S box leader)". From Rfam's summary of the family: The SAM riboswitch is found upstream of a number of genes which code for proteins involved in methionine or cysteine biosynthesis in Gram-positive bacteria. The SAM riboswitch acts at the level of transcription termination control. The record is from Rfam by way of RNAcentral. Lineage: Bacteria; Bacillati; Bacillota; Clostridia; Eubacteriales; Clostridiaceae. RNAcentral also lists the same sequence under 1 other name.